Molecule: ribosomal RNA, 304 nt
Filed under: uncultured cyanobacterium
Lineage: Bacteria; Bacillati; Cyanobacteriota
Description: bacterial SSU rRNA
Rfam family: Bacterial small subunit ribosomal RNA
Source: RNAcentral
AUUGAACGCUGGCGGUAUGCUUAACACAUGCAAGUCGAACGGUAGCAGGCCUUCGGGCGCUGACGAGUGGCGGACGGGUGAGUAACGCGUGGGAAUCUGCCCUCAGGAGGGGGAUAACGGCUGGAAACGGCCGCUAAUACCCCAUAUGCCGCGAGGUGAAAUGAAUUUCGCCUAAGGAUGAGCCCGCGUCUGAUUAGCUAGUUGGUGGGGUAAAGGCCCACCAAGGCGACGAUCAGUAGCUGGUCUGAGAGGAUGAUCAGCCACACUGGGACUGAGACACGGCCCAGACUCCUACGGGUGGCAG